This 668-nucleotide long non-coding RNA is filed under the name Rhinopithecus bieti (black snub-nosed monkey). RNAcentral's name for it is "lncRNA (ENSRBIG00000045898.1)". The record is from RNAcentral. Lineage: Eukaryota; Metazoa; Chordata; Mammalia; Primates; Cercopithecidae.
UGGCCGGAAUGUUCCUUGCUGCUGAUGCAUUGGCCUCAUCUGGAGGUCCUCUUUGACACCUACCCUACUCUCUCCCUCCACUCACACUCUUAGAACUGUGCUCAGGGGCAGCGCUACAACUUCAAACACUGGUCUUCACAGGGCUUGAGUGAUUCUUUCAAGAACAGAACGCUGUGUGGAGGUUGUUGUUACUGAAACCUUUACCAUAUUUCAUUGCAUCUAAGACACAUUUUUUUGUGUGUGUGAUUUAACAUCUCUAAGGUUGGGUUAUGUUUCUUCAUCAUUGUCAGGUUAGAGUUUAAUUAGCAGCACUUUUUUUUUCCUUAGUGUCACACACAGUAAUGGUGAUGUAUCUCACAAUUGAGAUGGUCUUAGAUCUGAUGGAAUAUGGAAUCGUGUACCUGUUACAAGCCAGGCUUUUGUCUGGGUUCUACAGACAGUGGAACUCAAGACAGUACCAUCCUCUAGUGGUGUUCACAGCCCACCACAGUGGAGUCAGGACUUUGAAGUCCUCCAUUGGAUCUGCUUGGAAGAUGAGAGAAAUGAGAGAGUAUGGAGAGAGGUUUUGUAAGUCGUGUCUGGAAGAGGUCAUUAUUCAGAAUCCAGCCACAUGGCUACAUGGAACUGUAAUAAAAAGGGGAAGAUUUACGGGUCUGCUGUGGAUCUAG